ACAAAUACAAAUUAACCUUUAUAUUGUAAAUAAAUAGUAAUAAAAAAAUAUUCUAAAAAAGAAACAAUAUUGAUUAUAUAAAAAAACUUUAUGUAAAAUCUGCACAUCUAUACAUAUAUCAGCAAGUACCAAAUAUAUUGGCAAUGUGUGCGAAAUAUUAAACGCGAAAUAUUGAAUUUUCUUGCACGGUUCAGCAACAACGGAGAAAUCGAAGAGCGAAUAGAACGGACCUAGAGGGUUACGUUGAUGAGACUUCCUAUACAUUUAUAUAGAGCAGUCCGGAGAAGUUUUAGUAUCUGCUGAGCGCUACGCUGUGGGAGAUAUUACCAUCCAUAAAGUUUUACGAACCGAAAAUAUCAAGCUUACUUGAAUGCUGGUUUAUACGCGUCCCUACAGCCUAUGGCUGCUUCUCUUCAGCAAUUACAGGCGGCUCGCUUGAUAUUGAGGAACAGUGACGACGUAAGCGCGAAAAACGAAUCUUGUUCGUGAUUACGGCGAUUACGAGGAAGGCAACGUAUUUUUCUUUUCCUUUUUGCAGAAACAGUGGCGAACCACUUAACGCCGAAAAUCGACAUGAUCCUUCAGGCAAUACCUUUAAAUUCGUGUGUGUAAUGGGUUUACACACAUAACGAAUUUUAUGAAGCGAUGAUUGGCAGUUAGUGAGCGAACGGCCUCCUAAUUUUCUAAGGAUUCCUAUGCCAGCAAUAAUUCUAGUCCUCGUUAUCGCUACAAGUUAACACGUGAAAAAUUGAACAUCAUGUAUUUAAAACAUAAACGCUCCUGUCUACUUCAAAUUUAUAGCUUCCGCGGCUCCAUGUAUAUUUAUAUCACUUAAAUAAUAAGUAUAUCUGUCUUUCAAAACAUUAAAUUUGCACUUCUGCGCCUGAUAAACAAAAAAAAAACAACAUAAUUAGUUUUUAUUGUACGAAUUGGAUCACAAAAUAUUUCAAUAAAAGACAAAUAUAAUUUUGAAUUAAUAAAACAAUUUGCUGAUAUGUGCUUUUUUCUAUUGAAAAGUAACAAACACCUCUUAGAUAAUAAUUUUUUUAAUUCACAAUUAAUUUUUUAAUAUCAGUGGAUUGCUACACAGAGAAAAAUUUCUCUUAAAAUUUACCCUUAAAAUUCCUUGAGGUCACAUAUUAUCCUACAAUUACCAGAUUUUGAGGUAAAUUUUAAGUAAAAAUUUCUCUCCGUGUAUGUUAAUAGAAGUGUCAUAUGAAAGAUAAAAUCUUUUAGUUGUAGUAAAAAUGAAUAUUGUCCAAGACAACUUAUUAUAAAAUUGCUUAGAAUGGUCCAAACCAAUCGAAAUUAUAUCAACUAUUUCCCAGAUUUCUAUUGUGAUUUCCAGAAAAACCGAAAUAAUUUGAAUCAAAGUUUAUUCUAAAUAAUUAAUUCUAUAUACACAAUAAUUAAAACAAUUCUUUAUAAUCUAAACAACCACUAAUCCGUGAAAAUCGAUAACUAAUGACUGACUAUGUAAGCAUAGUUAUAAAUAAAUAAGCAUGUAAUUAAAUAACUUUGAUGUUUUUAAAAUUAAAAAUUUUUCUAUAACUAGAACACAAUGCGCGCCAUUUAAUUUCAAAAUCAUUUAAUGUAAAUAUAAUUUAAUACGUAUCAGUGUAAAUCAGUGUAAAUAAAAUAAAAAAAAGUUAAACUUAUAAAUAUUCAUGUGCAUAAGUACUUCGGACUAAACGGAAUCCUUUCAAGACUUGAUUUUUAAAUUACUUUUUUUUAUGUUAUUGUUCUUAAACAUUGACUUUACACAUGUUAAUUAUAGCGCAAAAACAAUUUUAGAAAUCUUUUAUUUUACGUAUUCAAGUGUUUUCAAAUAUUCAAGAGUAAAUAGAGUACUUCUGGACCAUAAAAAAAACUUUUUUCUAAAGUUAUUAAUAUUUGGGUUUGUUCUUGCAUUUAUAUAUUUUGGUACAAAACGCAAAAAUAAUCGUUUAAAAUCCCAUUUACAGAAAAAUUAUUUUAAUCUGCAUAAAUAUGGCUAUCUGUUAAACUUAAAAUAAAUUAUUUAUCACAAUGUUGAAUAAAAUAACAAUUAAUUAAAGAUGAACAAGAUUUAGCAAUUUUUUUACUUUUACGAGGUGAGAAAGAAACUUUUUAAGAUAUAAAAACUAUAGUUUCAAUCAUAACUAUAAGUAUUACAAAUAUUUUGUUUUAAUAUAAAAGUCAAUUGGUUUAAUAAUUUCUGAGGCAAAAUUAAAAAAUAAUUUUAAGAAAAAUGUAUUAAUUGUUAAUUUUAAAAAAAUUAUACACAAAAAAAGAAAUUGUCUUAGUUUGCUAUAGUAUACUGACAUUAUCUAGUUUUCUUUACCUUAAAAUAUAUCUUUGCCUUUCUUGAAAAAAGUUUCUGUCAUGUUAUGAUUUUAAUGAAAUGUGAAAUAGUAUAGUAAGAGGCGUUCGAUUGAUGCGCUAAUCAAAUCUUAAACGCCAGUAUAUGCUUUCACAUUUGAUUCUAUAAGAUAAUUCCCAUCAUUAAUAGUUCAAAAUCUUUUGUUGAAAAUGCAUAUAGUAAAAAAUAAACAAUAGUAAAAAUUUCUAUUUUUGUUCCACAUAUAUAUUUUGAUGUAAAUAUUCAGAUAAGCAAAUAUAAACCUUUGUCACCAUUUUGCGUGCGUGACAGUGUUCUACUAAAGCAUCAAACCUUCAUAUAUUUAUUUUAUAUUGUUAUUAUCACUGUGCUAUGUAAUGGUGCUUUUUUGCAAAUAUUUAUAACAUAUACUCUUCCUAGCAUUCUUCGAAACGUGAAAACCUUGAUAAUUUUUUGUUAAAAUGCUUUAAAAACUUAUUUUUAAGAAUAUAAUAAUUGAACAAUAAAAAAAAUUUGUAAAAAAAAUAUUUUUAACCUAUCGAACUGGAAUAUCCCCUUAACCUGAAUCUGUUAUCUAGGUACUUCAUGAUACUGAUAAAUCGUGUAUAAAUACCAUGUGCAAACGAUGCAAGCAACAGAAAAUAUUCAAAUAUGGCCGGCUACAAAGGAGCAUUGCUACUCUUUUUAUUACUAGCAAUAAGUUUGGCAGAUGCCAGAAAUUUUCCAACAUCCGAGACAGAGAAUAUAACUCCUCGCGCUAAGCUUUUUCUUCGUUGGUUACUACAACAGAUAUUUCAAAACAGAUUCUCGCUAAAUGAACUUCUAGGAAUUUCUACGCCUUCAAAUAAAGAGCUGGAAAGUACUUUCAAUAAAUUAACAACAAAUGUGAUUCCAAGAAGUUCUACACCUUUGGAUAAAUUAACAACGAGUAAAGAGCAGGAAAGUACUCUCAGUACACCGACGACAAAGGAGAUUCCGAAAAAUUCUACAAAAAUUUGAACAAUCCAAUUGAUACAUAGAUAAAGAAUACGAGAAAUCUUAUAUACUGAGUAACAAAACCAAUUGGCGAUUCAGCAGCUGCUACCGCAUCAAAAGUGCUUAAGGACAACGACCUUCUUGCUACUUUCACGAGUGACAUAUUGAAGGACUUCAUUGCGCAGAAGAAAGCACAUUACGAUCGUUACCAAGGAAACAGAACACGUGACACAUUUUUAUUGACAAAUAAAGAAAGCUAUACGCAGCUUGUCAAAAUGGAGCACGGCUGGCUGUUGCUAUCGCUAGCAAUAUUCGAUAUCUUUGUACACGUUUUUAGUUUUUAAUGCUUCACGCUGUUUUUAUGUAUGUAUAACGCAGUAAAAAAGAGAUAAUAUUGAUAUGCACGCAUAAAUUUUUGCACAAACAUAUAAAAUAAAGAAUUACUUCACAUUUCUACUCUUAAUUUCUUCGUUAUAUAUAAAUAUAUAAAUAUCUAUAAACACAAUAAGAUUUAUAGAAUGUAUCGAAAACUUUGAAUAUAAUACAAUAGUUCGAUGGUACCCUUUAGAAGUUAUUCUUUGCCUUUCCGAUUAUGAAAGAUCUUUAGUUAUAGAAGAGGUAAAUGGAGGUAAUAAUAUUUACAGGCUCAAUAAAAGUAUACCUUUAGCGACCCAUUCACCUAAACCUUCUGUUGGAGGAACACGCGUCGCGGAACGUUGGCCGUACAAUAAUGCCAAAUACGCGUGAAGAGAAUGCGAUUCUCAGACAUUCGGCUAAAGUCGCAUCCGUACCAGGUUUACUACUUUUUUAGCUUCUUUUUCGCCACGCUCGUUCCUUUCUAUCUUUAAUCUUAGUUAUUCCGUCAUGCAAUUCUGU
RNAcentral lists this long non-coding RNA (4171 nucleotides) under Monomorium pharaonis (pharaoh ant). RNAcentral describes it as "uncharacterized LOC118644951". The record is from RNAcentral. Lineage: Eukaryota; Metazoa; Arthropoda; Insecta; Hymenoptera; Formicidae.